RNAcentral lists this ribosomal RNA (232 nucleotides) under uncultured bacterium. RNAcentral describes it as "partial 16S ribosomal RNA". It matches the Rfam family "Bacterial small subunit ribosomal RNA", at positions 524 to 755 of the family's 1533-position model. The record is from RNAcentral.
UACGUAGGUGGCAAGCGUUGUCCGGAUUUACUGGGCGUAAAGGGCGUGCAGGCGGUUUGUUAAGUGCAGGGUGAAAGCUCCCGGCUCAACUGGGAGAGGUCCUUGCAUACUGGCAAACUCGAGGGAGGCAGAGGAAAGUGGAAUUCCCGGUGUAGUGGUGAUAUGCGUAGAUAUCGGGAGGAACACCUGUGGCGAAGGCGGCUUUCUGGGCCUUACCUGACGCUGAGACGCG